Molecule: ribosomal RNA, 190 nt
Filed under: uncultured bacterium
Lineage: Bacteria
Description: partial 16S ribosomal RNA
Rfam family: Bacterial small subunit ribosomal RNA
Source: RNAcentral
ACUGCACGAAGCUGGAAUCGCUAGUAAUCGCGGAUCAGCACGCCGCGGUGAAUACGUUCCCGGGCCUCGUACACACCGCCCGUCACACCAUGGAAGUCUGCAAUGCCCGAAGCCGGUGGCCUAACCACUUAUGUGGAAGGAGCCGUCUAAGGCAGGGCAGAUGACUGGGGUGAAGUCGUAACAAGGUAAC